CUCUGGGGUAGAUACAAGGUAAUCAGGUUAGCUCACGUGGGGUUCACAGUCUUAAUCCCCAUUUUACAGUUGAGGGAACGGAGGCACAGAGAAGUUAAGUGACUUGCCUAAAGUCACACAGCAGACAAGUGGCAGAGCACAAUCUGACCACAGAAGCCCAGAGUGAGUUCGCCCUAGGAGUGGGAAUGGUUUAUUCAGAAGAUCACAGCUGUUUUGUGUUUGUUUUUUUUUAAAAAAAAAGGUAGUGGAACUCAGAAGUAACAGAGAAAGAUACUUUGUCCUGGGAUCAGUGUCAUCAGUCUUAGUUACCAAGACAACCACCUGCUGGGUUAUGACAUUCUGCUGCAGUCACCAUGACCGUCAGCGGGUCCUGCAUGAGGGUGGAAAAAAAAAUACAUCUGUGAGCACUUUGCAAUAUGCUGCACCUCUGGCUGCCUGAUUAGUUGUUGCUCUCUGUCCCCCAGCUACAAAACAAGUGGCAGGGGCGAGAGUGUGUGAGGGGUGCUGUGCAAACCACUCUCACUACAAUCAAUUACUCUGUGUAUGUUUUCAGUUUCCAAGUCUCCUGACCGAAGCCCAUACCUCAUUCCCGAUGGCAGAGUCACGAGACAUCAUCCUUUCCUUCACUGAUAGAAAGUCCUCAAGGAGCUCAAGCCUGAGGGAGAAAAGCACCUAAACCAGGAAGGAGAUGUGAAGUCAUGAGACUGGCUGACUCGUAGAGGAUAAGGGUCUCCUGGCCUGAACCACCACAGAACCAGACCGGGAUUCUCAUCCACAGGACGUGGAACCCCCUCCGCCUCCGCCACCCCCUCAAACUGUGAGGGCCGCUGCCUCUUGACGCUCGAGGAUCCCUGCGUGUUCUCUCCCUCCUCGCCUGAUGCCUCCCUCAGAUCCCUUUUCCAGCUCCCACCACCGCCGGGUCUGGAGCGUUGGGAGCACCGGCUCUCCUCCACCACCUCGAAGAGCUUGUCCACGAACUGCCAGGUGGAGUCGUCAAGGAGAGGCUCCAACUGGGUCUCUGCCCUCUUCUGGUCCAACCCCCUCACCAUGCAAUUCAGUGCUGCUGUGACUACCGUGGACUCCGAGAAUCCCAGCACCUCCCUCACCGUCUGCUCGACCCGUGGCUUCAGGCCAUCCAGCUCUCUCUUGGACAGUGCCAUCCCUCAGGGGAGGGGCAGAGAGAACUCUGCGGCCUUCUACCAGACUAUGAGGUCACAGUUGGUGACAGGGUAGCAGUCACAGCCUCAGGAAUAAAGAGCUUUCGAACCAGAACUAUCUCCCUCAAUACUCUAAUUUGGCAGUCCGUUGUUCUAGAUGGGAUUAAGGAAGGCUUUUUUGCUGUUACCUGAGACUUGUAUUUUAGGGAGUUUCAGAAAGUCCUCACCCACACCACGAUGAGGACCUCUGUCCCGUCUGUAUUUAUAUUAGGUCUGCCCCUUUAUCACGCUCGGUAUUCCAGCCAGGGAGCUCGAGUUCACACCUUAUAGGAAGACUCAAGGGUUCUAAUCCCAGCCCCCCUUCAUUCCUGCCGUGUGAACACCUGGGUAAAUCACUUAACUUCUUUGUACCUCAGUUUCCUCCUCUGCCAACUGGGGACUCGAUACCUCUGUCCUUUCUCCUACGGGAAGCAGCGUGGC
RNAcentral lists this long non-coding RNA (1637 nucleotides) under Ornithorhynchus anatinus (platypus). Its description in RNAcentral is "lncRNA (ENSOANG00000040105.1)". Lineage: Eukaryota; Metazoa; Chordata; Mammalia; Monotremata; Ornithorhynchidae. The record is from RNAcentral.